UGGGUCUGUGAUAGCUGCCGGCGUAUGAAUCACGGAUGAUGAACGAUGCGUGUCUGGAAUUCUGAGGUCCAC
Molecule: small nucleolar RNA, 72 nt
Organism: Mustela putorius furo (domestic ferret)
Lineage: Eukaryota; Metazoa; Chordata; Mammalia; Carnivora; Mustelidae
Source: Ensembl